This 375-nucleotide unclassified non-coding RNA is filed under the name plant metagenome. RNAcentral describes it as "partial contains 5.8S ribosomal RNA, internal transcribed spacer 2, and large subunit ribosomal RNA". The stretch from base 1 to 105 matches the Rfam family "5.8S ribosomal RNA", at positions 50 to 154 of the family's 154-position model. The record is from RNAcentral.
GAAAUGCGAUAAGUAAUGUGAAUUGCAGAAUUCAGUGAAUCAUCGAAUCUUUGAACGCACCUUGCGCUCCUUGGUAUUCCUUGGAGCAUGCCUGUUUGAGUAUCAUGAAAUCUUCAAAGUAAAUCUUUUGUUAACUCAAUUGGUUUCUACUUUGGUAUUGGAGGUCUUUGCAGCUUCACACCUGCUCCUCUUUGUUCAUUAGCUGGAUCUCAGUGUUAUGCUUGGUUCCACUCGGCGUGAUAAGUUAUCUAUCGCUGAGGACACUGUAAAAGGUGGCCAAGGUAAAUGCAGAUGAACCUCUAAUAGUCCAUUGACUUGGACAAUACUUUUAUGAUCUGAUCUCAAAUCAGGUAGGACUACCCGCUGAACUUAAGC